This 24667-nucleotide long non-coding RNA is filed under the name Carica papaya (papaya). RNAcentral describes it as "long non-coding RNA (CPAP_LNC009263)". Lineage: Eukaryota; Viridiplantae; Streptophyta; Magnoliopsida; Brassicales; Caricaceae. The record is from RNAcentral.
AAAAGGGAGAAUCCAUUAUCAAGCACGUCGCCCAUGAGCGGAGGAGCUAGUAGACUGAUUUGCUCGUAAAGGGAGGGAGACCUGAGAGGAGGAGCCCUAUGCGGGGCUAAACCACGAGCGAGGGCAUUUCCGAGCUCGGGUUCGCAUAUGAGGGGUUAUGUUGCAUGUGCGGAUGGCCUUUCCUGCAUACAUGUAUAGUUGUGCCGUAAGCCAGGUGCCGGAUCUACUGGGUUAGGGACUCCAGUCAUGUAUGGUGUCCCGCCACUGCAUGGGGUGGCUAUUUUGGGUGGCCUUCACGUCGAGUUACCCAAAUCGGCGGAGGGGUGCCAUGUGCUGGUACGGGUACCAUUCGGGGGUUGCAACCCAACACCCUCCUAUGCCCACUGGUAAGUCUUUCUGUUUGACCGGAUUUGACCUUUUGACCGAUUCUAUUUAUGUUUACAAGUUUAAUCUGAUCCAAGUGUCUCAUGUGGUGAACCGGAUCCAUUAAUGGUAGUACUAUUGGAAGAAUUUUUAUUAUGUGGGUUUUGUAUUUGAUGUUAUGAUGAUGAAGUGUUUUCUUAUAUGAAGUUUAAAAUAUUUUUUAAACAUAUUUGCUCUUUUUUUUUCUUAUAUGAAGUUUGUUAUCUAUUAAGUAUGAAUUAGCUCAUUCAUACACUAGCAUGCUCAAAUAUUUAAUCACAAUUUUACAUAAUUAUCUAUAUAAAUAUAUUGGAAAUAUAAUAUUAGAUUAUAUUGAUGCACAUAUACAUGAAGGAUUCUUCAUAUAUAUAUAUAGAUUUAUAUAUUCUAGUGGAUUAAGUGGGAAUUAUGACAUCUUAUUGCAUUAUGUAUAGAUUCUUAAAUUUUUGAAUUAAGGGUAUAUUUGGUUUGAGGAGUAUUUGUCGAUUGCUUUAAAAUAUUUUAGCUUUUUCUUAGAAACUACGAUAGGUUUUAAUCUUAGAUAUUCUCUUAGAUUUUUUCCUAGAUCUUCUCUGAGAUUUUCGCUUGGAUUUUUUCCUAGAUUUUAUCCUAUAUCUUUUCUUAGAUUUUUUUUCUAGAUUUUCUCUUGGAUUUUCUCCUUGAUUUUAUCAUGGAAGAGGAAUUAUCUUCUACUUCAAUUUGGAAGCUUUUAAAGCAUCUUCAACUCAACUUCUCCAACAAAAAUUGAUUAAAUAUUGAAGACCCCAUCUAAGUCAAAUAGACCAUGGAGAAUUCGACCACAACACCACUUGUCAAGAGAGAAGAUUUUUAGUUCUACUUGGUUUAUGUCUUUUUAAUUAUUAUUUUGAUAGUUUUCUAAAUUGAGUUGUAACUAGAAUUAUUCUUGGAUUUUACUUUUUGAUUUCAAGUAGAACUAGUUCAGGUGAAUGCAUAUAUAAAGGCCUCAGCAUUAGGUUGUCAUACAUCACUUUAAAAAUAAUCAAAUUCAAGAAUUAUUUUGCUUUAGUAUGCUGAUUGUGAAUCCUCUUUAUGGAGGUUCUUUAACUAUCUUAUUGAGGUAGGAAUUAGAUCUAUUUAUCGAGAUAAGCUCAUGGUAUCUUUUUAAUUUUGAAUUUCUUAAUUUUCAGUACCUUAGUUUGCCUCCACAUUGUUGAUUAUGGGUUAAGUUAGGAGGGUUUACUUUGGGAUUUAAGUUUCUGCAUGUUGAUGUUAUAUGCAGGAUUUUAGAUUACGUUGUUGAUUCCAAGUUCUGCUUCAUUUGCACCUCCACCUUUAAGACCUUCUAAGUUUAGCCCAAGACUUCUUUCUUUAUGGAUCCAUCCUUUAACAUAAACUUGAAAUUCCUUCUUGAUUUUAUUAGCAAAUGAUCUUGUCCUUACUCCACUUGACAUAGUGGUACUGCAUCUAUCCAACCAUCUGCACCUUGAAGUGGAUCCAUCCUAGGCUUCUCUUUAUGUGGCCUUUGCUCAACUUGAAUUUGGUUUUGAUCUCCACUUAUUUGGACCUUGUCGUAAGGAUCUCCCUUUGAAUGGACCUUGCCAACAUUUAUCAUUCAUGAAGCCUAAAUUGUGACCUCUUAAGCUCAUGAGAUCAUGAGCUCCAUCUUAAGUUAUGUCUUGCUCUCCCUUAGUGUGGUUAAGACCUUUUAAGCUCAUAUAGCCAUGAUUUCCUUUGUGGCCGUGAACUCUUAAGCUUAUGUAGCCAUGAUCUGUCAUGUGGUCAUUAGCUUUUAUGUUUCUUUGAGCUUCCAUCUGGCCUAUGAUGAUUUAUGCCACCUUGAUCUCUAUCGAUGCCUUCCUAAUCAUGUCUAUAACUCAUUGAAACCUGAUAUGAUUUAAAACAGUUCCUAAGCUUGGUUAAACAUCUUAGUAAAUUCUUCUUAACAAAGGGAUUCAUGGGAGAAAAAGUAGAUAAAAAAUUAUUUAUAAAGAUCAAUGGAGAUGAUAUUUUAAUUGUUGAGAUAAGAUAUUUUUUCAAUCACAUUAGUUAUGUCCUGAAAUUUUUUGUGAUGUAUUAAGAUAUGCGAUCCUUUGAAUUACAUCAAGCUAUAUGAUGAAAAUUCUCUUGUAACCUCAGGACAUAUGAUGUGUUGAGAAAUAUAAUAAUUUAAACCACAUCACAUAAUAUGCUAGAAGUGUGAUUCCGUAAAUUACUUAAGACAUUUUAAUCACUCUUAUCACAUAUGAUGCACUUAAUAAAUUGAAGGUGAAAUGACAUUUUUCUAAAAAAUAAUAAUAUUUUUGAAUAUGGAUGAUGUUAAGUUUUUUAAUUUUUAUGUUUAAGAAUCUUGUCUGAGUUGGUGAAUAAUGAGUAAUGCAUUCUAAUCACUUUUAUCACAUAUGAUGCACUUAAUAAAUUGAAGGUGAAAUGACAUUUUUUUAAAAAAUAAUGAUAUUUUAGAAUAUGAAUGAUGUUAAGUGUUUUAAUUCUUAUGUUUAAGAAUCUUGUUUGAAUUGGUGAAUAAUGAAUUUGAAUUCCUUUCUAAGAUUCUUGACAUACGUCCUUAUAAAUUUUUUUAUAUUUGAUUAUCAUUUUUAAAUUCAAGAAAGUUGAGGAACAUGGAUAACUAAUCGCUUAUAAAGAUCCUUGAUUAUUUUAUUAUUUAUAAUACAGAUAAAAAAUGAUUAUGAUAAGAUGUGUGAUAGACAAUUAGAAAAAAGAUCUAAUAUUUGAUAUUUGGUACUUCAACAAUUAUGAAGUUAAAAAUAUGACAUGUUUGUAGAUAAUAUAUAUAUGAAAUGGGCUAAUAAAAAUAUUUGUGUUAAUUGAUUAAUCUUUCUUGAUACAAUACAAAUAGUGGUUGGUGAAUAAUAAAUUAACUAAAUUAAUAUAUAGUUCUCAAAUGAUGAUGGAUAUUCUGUAUGCAAAAACAAAAAUGAGUACAUUUGAUCAUUAUAUAUCAUAUAAAAUAUACACAUCCAUGUGAGAUGCAUCCAUGUGAGAUGCUUAUUGAAUAUCAUGAUAUUCCAAUGUGAUAAACUUAUUGAGUAUCUUUAAAUAUUGAUGGUACUUCAAUGAGAUAUGUUUAUUUAACAUCUUUGAUAAUUGUUGAUAUUUCAAUCUAUUAAACUUAUUUAAUAUCUUUAAAGAUUGGUAAGGAUUUUGACAACGCUCCUUUUGGCUAAAUUUUUUUUUUUUUUUGUCUUUUUUAUCUUAUUUAUUUAUCCUUAAGACAUCAAAAAGGGAAAAUAUUCAUUUUUAAUCUAAUAUACCUUUUUUAUUAAAGGGAAGAAAAAGGGAGGAUCAAUCCAUAGUAGCAACGACUCCUUAGAAGAAACAAAUCUUAUAACAAAAAGUGAAUGUAUCUUAUUCCCUUUGACUGAAAAAAAUUAUUCUCAUAUACUUGGUUUGAAUUUAUGGAUAUUAAAUAUGGGUUAAAUAAGGAAAGUGGGAGUGAGUAGUUGUCACGAGCUUCUUGAGAUAUUUUGUUAAAUAUAAAACGAAAGUUUUUAUUUUUUACCCGUUCUUUAAAACUAAAAGAAUAGAGAGCUCAUAGUAAGGGAGAUUCUUUCAAUUUCUCUUUGAUGCUCCUUUACAUGUUAUACAUUUGUGCUUUGAAGAUUAAGUUUCGUCAUCCAUAGAAAAAGUGAGGAACUAUCGAACUAAUAUGAUUGAUUUUGAUGAACGAUAUAAACAUACUUUUGUAUUAAUGAUGUUGAUUGAGUUUUCAAGUUAGCAAACAUGUUGUAACUCAAAAAACUAAUAAAUUAUGAAAGAUUACAAGAGCAUCAUUAAGAAGAGAAACAAAUUAAAGACCAAGAGUAAUUUUUUUUACUUACUUAAAUUAUAUAUAAUUUAAGUCACUUAAUGUUGAUAGCUCAAUUUUUUAUUUUUCACUCAUGAAUCCCUUUGAAAAGUCUAUUUUUCUUGGAAAAUAAAUUUUCACUAUUUUUUAGAAAGAUAAUUNNNNNNNNNNNNNNNNNNNNNNNNNNNNNNNNNNNNNNNNNNNNNNNNNNNNNNNNNNNNNNNNNNNNNNNNNNNNNNNNNNNNNNNNNNNNNNNNNNNNNNNNNNNNNNNNNNNNNNNNNNNNNNNNNNNNNNNNNNNNNNNNNNNNNNNNNNNNNNNNNNNUGGGGCCAUAUGUGAAGUUAUGGAGUUAUCCUUUAUAAUAAUAGUGGAAUUAUUAUUAUUUUAAUUUACUCUCCAAAAUAAUUAUUGAAGGACACUCAUAAGCAACAAUCAUUUAUUAUAUUUAGUUUAAUUUGCACCAAAUACAUAAAAAAGCCAACAAGAUAAACACAAAUGUUGAUGAAUUAACAUAUUUUUAUAUUCAAAUAUAAAUAAUAUAUUACUUUACUAUUUUAUGAAUAAGUUCAAACAUAAGUAACAUGUCAAUAAUAUCACGUAUACAUGCACAAUAUCACGUAGACAUGUAGAUUCACAUUUUUUUAAAUGUAAGAAAUAAAUUAAAGAUCUACUGAAAGACAUUACAUAGAUAUGAAGGAGAUAUACCAUACAUGGCACAGACCAAGGGAAAGUGACACAGAAGAUGAAAUAAAGAAUAGUCAUGGCAUACAAUGUCGAAUAAAAACACAAAGAAAAACAAAACACAAUAAUGUAGGGUUUUGUCCUACCCACGUGGAAAUUAAUAAAGAAAGAGGAAAAAAAAAGGAAAGGCUGCAAUAUUUGGGGGCAAACGGUUUUCACUCUCCCAUGUAUAUAUAUAUGUAGAAAUUGUAAAAAUAAGUGGCAUUCAGUUUUUCCUCUCAUACUCUCUCACAGAAAUUGAAAAAACAUAGCGUCAAAGUUUGGUUCUCUUUCACUCUCACACACGCAGAUCAAGCGUGGGAGAAAUGCUGUGAUUUUAGUAGAAGGAAAAAAAAGAGCAAAACAGGUUCAAAAUUUGUUUCUCUUUGCUCAUAGGCAUCGAGGAAAGUAGAAAAGAAAGGGCUUAUUUGGUUACAUGGAUAGAAAUGAGGUAGGAAAUAUGUGACAAAGAUUGGUAAUUUCUUUGGUAUUUUGAAUAAAUUUUGGAGAAUUGUUCUCAAAUUUCUUGGUCUGAUUAUUCAAGAGGAAUUGAGUUUGGUUAGGGAAGAAUUUAUGUAUCUUCUCCAAAAUAUUGUGUGCUUGAUUUCUUUGAUAGUGGAUUUGACUCGAAUUUUGGCCUGUUAUUUUUUCCUCUAUACUGGAGGGUUUUUGACGUAAAUCUUGUCUCUUGUUCUUUUAUGAUUGGUUAUUUGUUUGCACUGGUAUUGAUUUACAUAUUGAUUUGUUUAAAAUUAUCAAUUGGAAUUUUUGGAUUAAUUUUGGUGAUUGCUUUUUACACAUGUAAGAUUAGAAUAUUUAGAAGACCUAACAAGUGGUAUCAGAGAAAGGUUGAUUGAUUUUUUGGUUGAUUUAUGGUUUAGGAUUAAUUUUGUGAAUUAGGAUGAAGGAAUUUGCUGGUAGAAUGAUAAAAUUAUCUUCUUCAAAUUAUUAAAUUUGAAAGUUAAAGAUAGAGGAUCUUCUUUAUUGUAAGGAUUUAUAUGAUCCUAUUAAGUUAGGAACUGCUAAGCCAAUAGGAAAAUCAAAUGAUGAUUGGAAAAAAUGCAUAGAAAGACUAUAAGAACUAUCUGACAGUGGGUGGAUAAUAGUGUAUAUUAUUAUAUAAACAAAGAAGUGAAUGCACAAGUUUUGUGGAAUAAAUUGAAAAAUAUGUAUGAGAGGAAAAAUGCACGGAGUAAAACUUUUGUCAUUAGAAAGCUUGUCAAUAUGAAGCUGAGAGAUGUACAAUUAAUUGCAUAACACUUGAAUAAAUUUCAAGAGUUAUUAAAUGAGUUGAAUACAAUAAAAAUAACUCUAGAUGAUGAAUUACAAGUGUUAUUGCUCUUGAGUUCCUUGCCAGAUAGUUUGGGAGAUCUUGGUGGUGUCUCUUAGAAAUUUGCUCGAAGCAGUAUCUUUGUCUUUAUUUGUGGUAGUAGAUAGUUUAUACAAUGAAGAUACUAGAAGAAAAUAUAAGGGCAUUGAUACCUCAUAGGUCCUUGUCAUAGAGAACAUGGAUAGAAGUAAAAGUAGAGAUUCUAAAGGACACAAUAAAGGAAAAUCCAGUUGUUAUCAUUGCGACAAAGACGAGCAUAUAAGUUGGAUUUGAAAAAAUGAACAGAAUAGUGAGAAAAAUAAGAUAAAGAUAGAUGAUCAAACACCACUGGAACUGUAGCUGAGACAGUGAAGAACUGAUUGUAUUUUCAAUUGUUGAGAAUCAUAGUCAUGUCAUUAAUUUUAAUACUGAAUGGGUUAUUAAUUCUAUAUCAUCCUAUCAUACUACACCUAGGAGAGAUGUCUUUACUAUGUACAAUGUAGGGAAUUUCGGUGGAGUGAAGAUAGGUAAUACCAACUAUGCAGAUAUUAUGGGUAUUGGUGAUAUUUGCGUGCAUACAGAUGUUGGUUGCACGUUGACUCUAAAAGACGUGCGACAUGUGCUAGAUUUGUGUUUGAAUAUGAUUUCUACUCAUACGUUGAAUUUAGAUGGUUAUUACAACUCAUUUGGUGGUAGAAAAUGAACACUCACUAAAGGUUCAAUUAUGGUUGCUAGGGGUAGUUUGUUUUACACACUCUACAAGACUCAAGUGAAUUCAAUUAUAGGUGCACUGAAUGCAGCUAAAGAUGAUGAUUUGCCAAACUUGUGGCAUAAGAGGCUGACUUAUAUAAGUGAGAAGGGGUUGUAGAUUCUUACAAAGAAGUCUCUUAUUUCCUUUUCCAAAUGCAUGAUUUUACCCUUGUGAUAAUUAUUUGUAUUGUAAACAACAUAAAUUUUCUUUUAGUAGUUCAUUUAAAAGAAAAAAGAAUGUUCAUGAUUUAGUUUACUCUGAUAUAUGUGGUCCUAUUGAUGUGGAAACCAUAAGAAGUAGUAGAUAGUUUGUUACUUUUAUUUUGAUAUUUCACGAAAGGUUUGGGUAUUUGUUUUGAAAGAAAAGAUCAAGUCCACAGUAUUUUAACCAGUUUCAUGCUAUGGUAAAAAAAGAAAAAUGAACAUCCUUAAAGUGUUUUCGUAGUGACACUUCAAAGGAUUUUGUGAAUUACUGUUUACAACAUAGAAUUAGACAUUUGAAGACUGUUCCGAGUACUCUUCAACAUAAUGACGUUGCUGAAAGAACAAAUAGAACCCUCAUAGAGAAAGUAAGAUGUAUGUUGAAAAUGGCUUAUUUACCAAUGUCAUUUUAGGGUGAAGCACUCUACAUUACGUGCUACUUAAUGAAUCGAUCUCCAUAAACUUCUUUAUAUUUGAGAUUCCUCAAAGAGUAUGGUCUACGAUUGAAGGUAUAUGAGUGUAAGGAAUUUAUGCAUAUAUAUAAGGAGUAAAGACAUAAGCUUGAUGACAGGAUUGCUCUGUGUAUUCUUUUAGGUUAUGAAGUUGCAUAAUUUGGGUAUAGAUUUUGGGUUCCAGUGAAGAAGAAAGUCAACAGGUAAAGAGAUGUAAUCUUUAAAAAAUACAAGACCCUGUCAGAUUUUGAGACAUCAGAGAAGACUACAAGAGGUGAAGAUAUUUCACUUCCUGCACUAGUUUCUCAUUCAAUCAAAGAUGCCACAGAUGAAGGAGAGUCCCAUAUUUAACAUGGAAUUGAUGAUGUGCCAACGCCAGAUUAUGUUGAGAAGGGGAACAACACUUCACACCUUAGAUAGUAGAAGAAUCUCAAGUUAGAAGAUCAAUUAGAAUACAUAAUUCUUCUAACAGAUAUCCUAUUUUGAGUAUGUGAUAGUUACUAAAGAAGGGGAGCCAGAGAGUUUGCAAAAAAUACAGAAUUAUAAAGGAAAAUGUCAGUUGAUGAAUGUAAUGUAGCAAAAGAUAAGUUUUUUAAAAAAAUUCACAUUUAUCCAGUUGAUAUGUUGACCAAGGUGGUGACUCAUGAAAAGCAUCAAUCUUGUAAUAAGAUGGUGGGACUGAGUGAUAGUUGAGCAAUGGAUGUGAGGAUACCUCCCCAUGGACUAGAGGAGGAGAUAAUAGGGUUUUGUCCACCCCACGUGGAAAUUAAUGAAGAAAGAGAAAAACAAGAAAAUAUAAGUAAGGCUGCUGCCAGAUUUGGGAAGGGGAAUGGUUUUCUCUCUCCCACGUAUAUAUAUAUGUAGAAAUUGAAAAAAAAGUAUCAUUUAGUUUUUCUUCUCACGCUCUCUCACAGAAAUCAAAGAAAAAAAAACAUAGCAUCAAAAAUUAAUUCUCUUUCACUCUCACACAAGCAGAUCGAGAAGGGGAGAAAGGCUUUAUUUUCAAAAAAGAAAAAAAAAGCAAAAUAGGUUCAAAUUUUGUUCCUCUCUAUGCACAGGUAACGAGGAAAAUAAAAAAGGAAGGACUUAUUUGGUUACAGGCAUAAAAAUCGAGAGAGGGAAAAUUGUUGACAAAGUUUGGUAAUUUUCUUUGGUAUUUUUGAAGGAUUAUUCUCUAAUUUCUUGAUGUGAUCAAUCAAGAAAAAUUGAGUUUGGUUAGGGAAUAAUUUAUGUAUUUUCUCUAAAAUAUUGUGUACUUGAUUUCUGUGAUAGUGGGUUUGACUUGAAGUUUGGCAUGUGGUUUUUCCCUUUGAAUUGGAAUAUUUUUCUCAUAAAUCUUAUGUCUCGUUGUUUUUUUGAUUGCUUCUUUAUUUGCAUUGGUAUUGAUUUACAGAUUGAUUGAUUUAGAAUUAUAAAUUAGAAUUUAUUGAUUAAUUUUGGUGAUUUCCUUAAUUUACACAAGAUUAGAAUAUUUAGAAGAGCCAACAAAAAGUCAUCAAGAAACGACACAACAACAAAAGAAAAAAGAGAUGAACGAGCACUCUAGGAAAUAUAAGAGCAUCUAACAAUCAUAGCAACAACACAAAAACCUAAAAACAACAUGAAUCGAAAUGCAAAUAUAUUAUGUGAUAACAAAUUUUCACAAAUGGUAUCUAUAAAUAUUUUGGAUGCACCCAAAUUCUAUAUAUAGUUAUUACAAACGACGUACUACUAUUCUUUUAUAAUCAUAGAAAAUCUUCAUCAAAAUAAAUAAGGAAAUAAAAUAAAUUAGUAAAAAUGUGUAAAUGACAUAUUCCUUUACUUUUUCUGUGAGUACGUGUAUAUGUACUACACGUGUCAAUAGUAUUACAUAUAUGCAUGGAAUAGCAGAAAUAUUUAAUUAAGUUGAUUUUUCAUUUGCUGCUACAUAUUUAUAAAAUUUACAAUAAAAAUGUGUAAGUAAAAUCGGGGUAUUGAUCCUUAAUUACCUUAGAAGGACAUGAUUGGAAUAAUGGUUCCUAAUAAAUGUUUUUUUUUUCUUUUCUAAAAGCCGAGUGUUUGGUUUAUUUGCUUUUGCAUUAUGGAUAGUCAUAGGUUGGUAGGAUUUAAAUGUUCCUACUUUAGCUAUGGUGUUUGAGUCUUGAAGAGGGAUGAGUCUUUUCUAUAUGAAAAUAAUAGUUUUUUUAAAAAGAUAAUGAGAAUUUUAUUUAUCAUAAUCUAAUAUUAAUGAGUAAAAAUCUAGUAUAGAAUCAAAUGAGAAGGACAUCAGAAAACCAUUUAAAGAAAAUAAUGCAGACUUAUUUUUAUGCAUUUAGAUUGUAAAAUUAUGUAAGGUGUUGAGUAGUAAAGAUGAUAAACAAUAAGAGAAUCAAACAGAUCAUACAAUAAACAAUAUACGUAACACGAUUAAAAGACUACCUUUGAGUCACUAUCACAUAGCCAACCUGUUUUUUUUUUUCUAUAUUUUUUCCAAAAAAAAACCAAUUUAUAUUCAUAGUAGCAAAUAUUAAAUUGAUACAAAAUUACUUAAUCAAUUAAGUAUAAAGGAAAAGAUUAGCAAAAUUGAUAAAAGAGGAGCAAGUUCAUCACAAUUAAUGGAUACUCUUAAAAGAUACAUAAAACGCCCAAAUCAUGGAUAUGCUAAUUUUUUUUUUCAAAUAUAAGAGAUAAUUUGAAGAUCAAUAGAAAGACAUUACACAAAUAUAAAUUAUAAACAUCUCUGUCAAUUGAGAUUAAUGGGAAGAGACAAAGUGUGACAUUCCAAGUGCUAAUUAAGACAAAUGGGUCUCAGAUACAGAUUCAUAAUAACAAGUGCAUGAUAAAACUUAUGCCGCGGAAUCAAAUCAUAACAAAUCUCUUAUAAAUAUAUAUAAUGUUCCAAAUACAUAUAUAAAUUCAGGCCAGAAGUUGUUACAAAAUAUAAAACAUAAGGGCCACUUCUUUCACUAUGCUACUGGAUGCAUCAGAGUGCGGGAACAGUCAUGCACUUAGACUUGUGGAUCCACGAGAUCCUCAUAGACUUCCAAGGGUAGGUCUGCCUGCAAUUUCUCAUUUUCUUCCUCCUCUGGGAGAGGGAGCGCAUGGAAAGAGUGAGUUCCAUAUGCUCAGUAAGGAAAGCAGUAUUAAAUUAAUUUUAUAAGAUUUCAAAAGUUUAUUAUUUUAUAUUACUGUUUAGCUUCCUUAUUUACCUAUCUCACCAUUAUAAAAACUAUUUAUUUGAAUACGAAAAUGGUACGUUAGCACAAAAGAUCAUAUAUACGUCAUGCCAGAUAAUAGAGAAAAUAAAAUAAAUCAUGAAAUGCACAGAAUUUUUGUGUCAUGCUUUGUGAAGUCAUUACAAAGUUCUAUCUCUGAGGGCAUAUAUAGAUUUCCAACUACCCAAGUGGAAUGACCAGAUCAGAUAUAGAUACAACAAUUUGCUCAGGCCCACUUUCAGUUGGCUAAACCAUUGUACGAUCUAUGACCAUGGCCGUACCAACCAUAGUGGUCCUAAAAGAUAUCUAUAGUUACGACAUUACUUAGCCACGGUUGACCCCUACAGAUAGUGCGAUACCACUCUCCUUAGAGGGCAUGCUGUCAUCCGCUAGGAGUAGUCCUCUUACAUCUUUCUAGACUAGAUAGGGGAAAGGAAAACAGAUACCUCAAAGAGUAAGGGGACCAGAUAACCCUUAGAGAUAAAAAGCCUAACGAGAUACUUGAUGCAAUAUGCAUGUCAAUACAGAUACACUUUAGACCAUACAGAUUUCAUUCCAUGUUUCUCUUUUUCUUUUCUUUUCACUUUAACUAUUACGGAUUAAAUAUUAUUUUAUUACAUGCAAAUUCAUCAAGUGUUUAUAAUUCACAUAGCAUGCUUGAAAACCAGAAUAAUUUGACUCAUUUGAAUACAGAGGCAUAUAAAACAGAUAAAAUAACACUCAUAUUAAAUUCGCUUAUCCAAAAAUACUCCUUAAGACGUCAAAAGUAAUACUAGGUUCCUUACCAAAACCUCGAUGAUUUCUUCUUCACCGUUUUCCUUUCUUUCUCUUCUUCUCUCACUAAUCUACUAUCUCUCUCUCUUUAAACUUUAAAAAAUGAAAGAAAUCCAAAUGUGGAAAGGAAGGGAAAAGGGGUAAUUUAUAGAAUUUUAAGAUUGUUAGAUUCGCAAUAAGUGGUGAAAUAUGGUGAAGAGAGAGGAGAAAAAGAUUCUUAGUAUAAAAAAAUGAGGGAGGAGGACCUCCUCAUUAUGUGAUGGUGGGGCUCCGCCUAAGGUAGCAGCGGUGCACUGCCCGAGGUAGCGGUACCCGACCGGUGUGCUACAGGGCAUAGGCCUACUACUACACACGCAGGGGCUAGUCUGCGCGUGCGCAGGCCUUAGAUGCACAGGGCCUUUCCACAAAAGCCUACUGCAUGGAGGGCGCGCGCAUAGUGUGCGACACCAGUCCGUGCAUGAGGUGACUUGCAGACGACCUUCCUGCAUGCGACAGGACCGUGCACAGGUCUUGACCCCACGUCGUGCGCGCUGUGCGCAUGUUCUGUGCAUGCGUGAGUGCAGAUGGGUCGUCCGCAUUGUGCGCACACCUCGUGGCCAUUGUGCGUGCAUGUGCGUGUGCACACUGCCCAACACCUGUGAGGGCAAACUACUCUCUCACGGGAUUUUUCCCGCAGACAGUUUUUCCUCAUUUUGCUAUUUUUUGAUUUUUUUCUAAUUUUCUUUUUAAUUUAAAAAUAAAAUAAAAUAAAAUAAUUUAAAAUAAAAUAAAAUAAAAAUUAAUAAGAAUAAGAAUUAAUAAAAAUCAUGAAUAAUGAGAAAUGUUAAAUAGCGUAAAUUAAUUAAGUUUAAGGCAGCCAAAGGCCCAAAUAAAUAGAGUUUCCAAAUCAUUUUAGCACAAUGAUGGGCGGGGUGUUACAUCCCUCCCACCUAAAACUAUUUGGUCCCUAAAUUUAUCUCGAAUAAGUAUAGAUACUUUUUCCUCAUUUCGUCCUCCAAUUCCUAUGUUGUUUCUUAUGGAGUAGGAUGCUACCAUCAUACCUUCACUAUAGGGAUUGUCUUGUUACGUAAGACUUUAUCAGUCCACCCUAGAAUUUCUACAGGAACCUCCUCAUAGGUCAUAUCGGUCUGUAUCUGUUCCUCAUCACGAGGAAUAACAAUAGAAGGAUUAGAGUGGUACCUCUUGAGCAUCGAGACAUAAAAGACAUAAUGCAAUCCUAUGAACUCUCGGGAUAAAGUGAGGUGGUAAGCCACAGAUCCAAUACGCUCGAUGAUCAGAAAAGGUCCCACAUAACGAGGGGUGAACUCCUAUCUCUUUCCAAAUCACAUCUUACCUUUGUAGGGGUAGACUUUUAAGAAAACUUGAUCUCCCACGGCAAACUCCAAGAGUCGCCUAUGAUUAUCGGCGUAGCUCUUUUGGCGGCUUUGGGUAGUUGUCAAAUUCUUGCGGAUGAUUGCGACCUUCUCUAUGGUCUCCUAAAUGAAGUCUGGUCCUAAGUGGCACUGAUUCCCGACUUCACUCCAGCAAGUGGGGGAACGACAAGGCCUUCCAUAUAAAGCUUCAUACGGGACCAUACCGAUACUGGAAUGGUAACUGUUAUUAUAAGCGAAUUCACAAAGAGGAAGAUACUCAUACCAGUUAUCACCAAAGUCAAAAAUGCGAGCACGUAACAUAUCUUAUAACAUCUGGAUCGUACACUCUGGCUGACCAUCCGUCUGGGGAUGAUAAGCGGUGCUGAAGUACAACUGAAACCCCAGAGCUUCUUAGAAGGUGUCCCAAAAGUGGGAAGUGAAUUGGGGGUCGCAGUCGGAUAUAAUGGAUGAGGGAACUCCAUGAAGUCAAACAAUCUCAUCAACAUAAAAGUAGACUAACUUACUGGUGGAGUCCAUGGUUCGAAAAGGUAGGAAAUGGGCAAUCUUCGUCAGCCUAUCCACAAUGACCCAAAUGACAUUUCAAUCAGAACAGGUCCUUGGCAAUCCGAUGACAAAGUCCAUAGUCAUGUGCUCCCAUUUUCAUCCAGGAAUCAGAAGACCCUGUAGCAAGCCAUCAGGUCUUUGAUGUUUUGUCUUUAUCCGUUGACAAGUAAGGCAUCGGGAGAUAUAGUCAACUAUAUCUUUCUUCAUUCCUGGCCACCAAUAUUGUCAUUUCAAGUUCCGGUACAUUUUGGUACUUUGAGAAUGAAUGGAUAACUUGAAAGCAUGGGCAAUCUUGAGUACAUUUGUACGUAUAGCAACGGGAACCCAAAUUCAGUUUUAGAAUCUGAACAAUCCGUCAUCAGAGAUCCUGAAAUCNNNNNNNNNNNNNNNNNNNNNNNNNNNNNNNNNNNNNNNNNNNNNNNNNNNNNNNNNNNNNNNNNNNNNNNNNNNNNNNNNNNNNNNNNNNNNNNNNNNNNNNNNNNNNNNNNNNNNNNNNNNNNNNNNNNNNNNNNNNNNNNNNNNNNNNNNNNNNNNNNNNNNNNNNNNNNNNNNNNNNNNNNNNNNNNNNNNNNNNNUGAAACGAAGCUUUAGUUUUAUGAAGCUUUCACUAUAUUCAUAAUUCCAAACUAAGGGUACUCUUUUUCUAGUGAGUCGAGUAAUAGGGGCAGCAACCUUGGUGAAUUUGUCAAUGAACCGUCGGUAGUAGCCUACUAAGCUAAGAAAACUACGUACCUCAACCACAUUGGUGGGCGGACUCCAGCUGAUCACCGAUUCUACCUUAGACAGGUAUACAAAAACUCCUUCACUAGAGAUUAUAUGACUGAGAAAAGAAACUUGAUCCAACUAAAAGGAGCACUUGCUUAGUUUCGCAUACAAUUAGUUUUGACGAAGAGUCUCUAACACUUCAGCCAAAUGCACGAUGUGUUCCUUAUGGCUUUUAGAAUACAUGAGAAUGUCAUUAAUAAAGACAAUGAUGUACUGAUCUAGUGCGUGUCAAAAAACUCGAUUAAUUAGGUCCAUGAAAGCUUCUGAGGCAUUGGUCAAUAUGAACGACAUCACCCUGAACUCGUACAAUCCAUAUCUACACCGAAAGGUUAUUUUUGGAAUAUCUUCUUCUUUAACUCUCAACUAGUGAUACCCAGUUCUGAGAUCAAUUUUAGAGAAGAUCGUGACUCCUUACAGUUGAUCGAAGAGAUCGUCGAUAUAGGUUAAGGGGUACUUGCUUUUAACGGUCACUUAGUUGAGUUCCCUAUUGUCCACACAGAGUCGGAGGGUACCAUUCUUUUUCUUUACAAACAACACCAAAGCACCCCAAGGGGAAUGGUCAGAGCGAAUUAAUUUCUGGGUGAUAAGAUCAGAAAGCUGAUGUUCCAACUCUAUUAGCUCAGUAAGACUCAUGCGAUACACAGGCUUCGAGAUCAGCUGGGUUCUAGACAAUAAUUUAAUCAGAAACUCUACCUCACGUGAGGGAGACCAGGAUGUUCGAUGGGAAAGACAUCAGAAAAAUUACAAAUAAUUAGUAUGGAACACACAGUAAGAUCAGUGUUCAUAUUCCUAUUCAUUAGAAAAAUGAUAACAAAAACUUUUAUUUCUUUCUUGGGGAUCUUAAGGUUACAAUUUUACUUUCAUAGUCUAUUAUUACUCUAUACUUUUCCAACUAAUCCAUUUCUAAUAUUAUAUCAACUCCUACAAAAUCUAAUAAUAUCAAGUUUACACAUACCUCUAUUUCUGAAGUUUUUAUCCUACAGUCCUUAUAUACGUAAUGAGCCUCUAGUAGUCUUUUAGAGGGAGUUUCCACCACUAGAGUUUUUCCUAAAGCUUCUGGUCUAAAUUCUAAGUACAAGCAAAUGCAUAGAAAAUAAAAGAGUGAGUUGCACUAGUAUCGAUCAAAGCCGUGGCAAAAGUAUUAUGAAUAAAAAGCAUACCCUGAAUGAGAACAGAAGCAGGAAGGACAUCAGGUUCAUCUAAGUGGUACACUCGACCAUGUGAAGUCUUUGGUCGCUGAGGGCACUCUUUUAUAAAGGUACUGGGUGCUUCCGCACCGAUAGCAGCGUUAUUAAUAUACCAACAGGGCAGGUCACCAUGUGAGUGACCACAAUGUUGACAAAGUUGGCUAGCUUGGGUAGGUGGAGAUGUAGUGGGGGCAGGGCAUAAGGAAAGGCCAAUUCUGGGUUCGUUGUCUGAAGGGUUACUUACUGGAUUAGACAAUCGUUUUCUAAGCUGUUGGGGUUAUUGUUGGGCAUGAACUCAAGAAAAGUGUUGGUGUUUAGCCAAGAUAAGAUCUUCGGCCAACUGGGCAUGUUCAAGCACCUCCACAUAUGAGCUAGGUCUCAGCAUCGCGACCAAAUCAUAAAUGUCGACACGAAGGCCUUUGAGAAACUUUCUACCUUUUUGGCUUUCGAGGGUGACCAUCAAAGGGAAAAACCUAGACAGUUGAACAAAUUGGGCUGCAUAUUGGGCUAUAGAUAAGCUUUAUUGGUAGAGAUCCUAGUAUUCCUCCUUCUUUUUUUUUUCCAAACAUAAGUAGGAAAAAGUUAUUAAAAAAAGCAUCCAUGAAAACUUUUCAGGUAGUAAGGGUAGGCAGGACUUCUUUCCUAAGUCGCCACCAGUGUUCGGCUUCAUCAUUUAGCAUGAAAGUGACAAGAGGGACUUUUUAUUCUUUGGUCAGAUCUAGUACAGAGAAGAGCUUCUCUAUUUGUAGGAUCCAAGCUUUGGCUAUUAAAGGAUCAGGACCACCUUCAAAGUGUAAGGGGUUAAGUUUCCUAAACUCUGCUAUAUUGUGGGAGAUAAACCAAUCUGUGUUUCAGAAUUUAGGGGUAGGGGAUGGACAAGGGUUAGCCUUGUUCUAUCAUACAGAUGUAGUUAAUCCUUGAGUGGCUCAUAAAUAUUCUAUGAAUACAGCCUUGGUCAGAUGAUCCGGGGCUUCAGGUCGUUCAAUAUUCUCUACAGAUGGUCUUCCCCGCAUCAUUCCUAUAAAAGAAAGAAAGACACGAGUUGGAGGUUUAAUUCUUAAAAAGAGGACAUAUUUCUUUCCUAGGUACUCUAAAAGAUUUAUUUACCCUAGAUCUCAGUGCAAGAGAUUUAUUUUGCAAAAUUCUACUCUGAUACCAUCUGUGACAUCCCAAGUGCUAACUAAGGCAAAUGGGAGUCAGAUACAGAUUCAAAAUAACGAGUGCAUGAUAAAAUUUAUAUAGCGGAAUCAAAUCAUAACAAAUCCCUUAUAAAUAUAUAUAAUGUUCCAAAUACGUAUAUAAAUUGAGGCCAGAAGUGGCUACAAAGUACAAAACAUAGGGCCCACUUCUUUCACUAUGCUACUGGAUUCAUCAGAGCGCGGGAACAGUCAUGCACUCAAACUUGUUCAUCCACGGGAUCUUCAUAGACUUCUAAGGGUAGGUCUGCUUAUAGUUCCUCAUUUUCUUCCUCAUCUGGGAGGGGCAUAGAAAGAGUGAGUUCUAUAUGCUCAGUAAGAAAAACAAUAUUAAAUUAACAUCGUAAGAUUUCAAAAGUUUAUUAUUUUAUUUUACCAUUUAGUUUCCUCGUUUACCAAUCUCACUAUUAUGAAAAUCAUUUAUUUGAAUAAGAAAAUGGUACGUUAGCACAAAAGAUCAUAUGUUCAUUAUGCCAGAUAAUAGAGAAAAUCAAAUAAAUCAUGAAAUGCACAGAAUUUUCUUGUCAUGCUUCGCGAAGUCGUUAUAAACUUCCAUCUCUGAGGGCAGAUAUUAAAGUUUUAACUACCCAAGUGGCAUGACCAUAUCAGAUACCGAUACGACAAUUUGCUCAGACCCACUUCUGACUGGCUAAACCAUGGUACGAUCUAUGACCAUAUCUGUACCAACCAUAGUUGUCCUAAUAGAUAUCUAUAACCACAACAUUACUUAGCUACGGGUGACCCCUACAGAUAGUGCGAUACUACUCUCAUCAGAGGGCAUACCGUCAUCCACUGGGAGCUGUCCUCUUACAUCUUUCCAGACCAGAUAAGGGAGGGAAAAAUAGAUACCCCAAAGGAUAAGAAGAACAAAUACCCCUUAGAGAUAAAAAGCCUAACGAGACACUUGAUGCAAUAUGCAUAUCAAUACAGAUACACUUCGGACCAUACCGGCUUUAUUCCAUUCUUUUUCUUAUUUGUUUUCUUUUUACUUUUACUAUUACAGAUUACAUAUUACAUUUAUUACAUGCAAAUUCAUCAAGUGUCUAUAAUUCAUAUAACAUGUUUGAAAACUCGAACAAUUUGACUCAUUUGAACACAAAGACAUACAAAAUAGGCAAAAUAACAUUCGUAUUAAAUUUGCUUAUCUAAACAUACUGCUUAAGAUGUUGAAAGUAAUACUAGAUUCCUUACUAAAAUCUCAAUGUUUUCUUUUUCACUGUUUUCCUUUCUUUCUCUUCUUCUCUCACUAAUAUACUCUCUCUCUCUCUAAACCUUUUAAAAAUGGAAGAAAUGAAUGUGUGAAAAAGAAGGAAGGGUGGGAAUUUAUAGAAUUUUGGAAUCGUUAGAUUUGCGACAAGUAAAAUCCAGUAAAGAGAGAGGAGAAAAAGAUUCUUGGCACGAAAAAUGAGGGAGGAGGACCUCCCCCAUCGGCAACGGCAGUACGCUGCCCAAGAUAGUGGCAGUGCACUACCUGAGAAGGUAGUGCCCGACCAGCAUGCUACAGGUUAGCCUGUGCACUCGCAUGGCCUUGGUGCACUGGGCACCGCGCUCGCAGGCCUAUUACGCGCAGGCCCCAGGUGCACAGCGCCUAUCCGCACAAGCCUGCUGCGCAGAUGGCACACGCACAGUGUGCAGUGCCAGUUUAUGUGCGAGGUGACGCAUAGAUGGCCCACCUAUGUGCGACAGGAUGCACACGUUGGUCCUUACUCGUGCCUGCGUGCAUGCGGAGGGGACGUGCGUACUGGUGUGUAAAAGGGUCGUGCGCACUGCCCCGUAGCAACUGUGUACGCAUGCGCGCACGCAAUGCGUAGCACCCACGCGGGCAAACCGCCGUCUCGUGGGAUUUUUCCCACGGGUGGUGUUUUCCCAUUUUGCUGUUUCUCGAUUUUUUUUUUUUUAUUUUCUUUUUAAUUUAAAAAUAAAAUAAAAUAAAAAUUUAUAAGAAUUAAAAUAAAUAAAAAUCAUGAAGCAUGAGAAAUGUUAAACAACAUAAAUUAAUCAAGUUUAAGGCGACCAAAGGCCCAAAUAAAUAGAAUUUUCAAAUCAUUUUAGCAUGGUGAUGGGCAGGGUUUUACACAAAAAAAUGUGCACAAAGAGUACUAAGGUUAUGCAACAAGAAACACAAACAUAAACAAAAACAAAAAACAAAAAAUUAUCAAAAAAUAGCAUAACAAUAGUAGAAAAAAGAGAUGAGCAAGCACACCAGAAAAUGUAGGAGCACCCAACAAUAGUAGGCAAUGCCAUGGAAAACCAGAAACAACAGGAAUCAUGUUGCACAUAUAUUAUAAAUGAUAAUAAUUUUUUAAUAAUGGCAUCUAUAAAUAUUUCAUAUAAGAGAAAUUCUAUAUAUAUUUAUUACAAAUAACAUGCUAUUGUAUUUUAUAUAUAGAGAAAAUUUUCAUCAAAAUAAACAAGAAAAGUAAAUAAAUUAAUAAAACAUGUAGAUAACAUAUUCUUUUUUAUCUUUUUCAGUAAGUACGAAUAUAUAGUACAUGUGUCAAUAAUAUUAUAUAUAUGCAUAGUAUAGUAGCUAUAAAAUAAAUUAUUUAAUUAAGUUGAUUUUCCUUUUGUAAGUAUAUAUUUAUAAAGUUUACGACAAAACUAUGUAUGUGAAAUGUGGGGUAUCAAUCCUUAAUUAUCAUUGGAGGAUUUAAUUAUUUGUUUUUGCAUUCUAGAUAGUCUUGGAAUACAUAGGUUAGUAGAAUUUAAAAGGUUUUCCACUUUAGCAUUAGUGUUUGAAUUUUGGAGAGAGGUGAGUCUUCCAUGUAACAAAAAAUAGCUUAUUUUUUUUGAAGAUAAUGAAAAUUUUAGUUAUCAUAAUUUAAUAUAGAAUCAUAAGAUAAAAACAACAUAAACCAUUUAAAAAAGUUAAUACAAAUUUAUUUUUAUGCAUUUAGAUUGCAAAAUUGAAUGGUAGUAAAAAUAAAAAACUAAUAAGAUAAUUAAAACAUAUUGUAUAAUAAACAAGACACAUAACACCAUUGGAAGAAAAGCUUUUAGUCACUAUCACAUAGCUAAACUUAUAAUUUGAACACUAGAUUUCUGAUUCUAAUAUCAUCUCAUAUAAUGUAUACUCUUAGAUGAGACAUAAAGCACCCAAAUCAAGAUAGUUCGUAAAGUUUCAAGAGCACAGCCAUGCAAAGUCCAGCUUAUGGCAUUUUUUUUUUCUUUCUAGAAAAUUCUAAACUUUUUUUCAAUCCUUUUCGUUUAUAGUUUUGUUGAUUAAAUAUAAAUAUAACUGCUUCAGCGUGUAAUAUCACACCAUAUAUAAAUGGUAAAAUAUUUAUCAUAAUAAAGUUUGUAUGUGACCAUUAAUCUAAGUCGAAUAACUUAUUAUAUCGAUAUAAGUAUAAAUAUAUAUGUAUAUAUAACUUAAAUCUUUUCCUUAAUGUACAAAAGCUUUGUUAUGAAUAACUUAACUUAUUGCUUCCUCUUUCUAUAGGUAUAUAAAUAGCUAGCUGUUUGUAUUUAGCUCAUUUUGUGCGGCUCUCUUCUCCUCAUAUAUAUAUAUUUUGGUGGUGUUGUAAAAGUGAUUGUAAAAGUUGAUUGCUAUGUGUAAAUCCACAAAGUGUUUUCUUCUUGAACUUUUUUGUUUACCUUUUGAGGGAGAGAAAAAAAUUGAAUUUACGUAUGACAUAUACAUAUCUCAUCAAUGUAAAUUAUAUCCAUCUAUUGACUAUUUUCCAUUAAUUAAGAUUGAUGACCAUAUAUAUUUGAUGCAAAUUUCUUAACUGUUAAGGAAAUUCAAUGGGUCAUAAUGGUCAUUUUAGACCCAGAAAAAAUAUUAAUUUUAUACUUAAUUAUUAUGUUUUAGCAUAUGCCAUGUAUAAGAAUUUAAAAUUUUAAAAAAAAAUGGUGGCUUGUAAUUAAAGAGAAAGAGAAAAUGAGCAGAAUAUAUAAAACAGUAAAGGUUUUAGGAAAAUCACAAAAAAGUUCAAAAAAGUUUACUUAUCCCUCAAACGUUUCAUAAGGUUUGUUUUAUUACUAGCAACCAUAAAAAUUAUUUUUUAUACACAUUUUAUUUCAUUUAGUCCCCUUUUAAGCACUAGAAAUUUAUUCAAAAAUUAUUUUUCUGCUGAAAUUAAAUCUCUAAAAAUAUUUUUUCUCUAUUUUGGUAUUAGGGUUCUUUUUUCCUUUUCCCAACACUCCAACUUAGAGAUAGAGUUUUAUUUCUUAUUUUUCUUAUGUUACAGCCACAUUGGAUACCAUUUGUUUUGCUUUAAGAAGGAAAACAAUGACUUGUAAACCAAAAGUAACACCCACAAGAAGGUAAGAAGUGUGAGACAAAGGAAAGAUCAAUGGCUAAGAUUCAUCCUUCAUUAUGAAAAUCUAUGGAGGCAAACAUGUAUAAAAUGGAUACAUGGUCCUUUUCCCUUCUUCCCCACCUAACACAGUCCAUUUCCAAACCCUUGAGUCUCCAUUAUUAAUCUGAUUUCCCCAUCAACUGAAUUUUUGAUAGUGACAUUAACAAGAAUGACUCAAUUUCGCUAGUAGUACUACUAAUAGUUUUGUGGGUUGACGCCAUAUAGGACGAAGCAGGACAAACAUCAAAAAAACAUAAGUGGACUCCUUGAGUGGUUUAAGGUAGAAGAGAAAGGUGAAAGAAGAAAAACAUUGAGGUGGAUUUAAUCAAGAAGCUUCCUUAUCAUCCAAUUCAAUCCAUUUUAGGACAUUUACUAGCAUAUGCUAUUGCUAGAGCUUUCACUGUGUGUAAGAAAUGGUAGGAAUCCUUGAAGACAUCUUUCAACCUCAAUCUGGAUGAGAUCUGAUACAGGAAAAAAUCUUAUCAUGAUUACAUAAACAUUUUUCUAAGCUCCAUGCAAUCAGCCUUGACAAAUCAUGACAUGGAACACCUUUAAGAUCUUUGGAUUUUAUCUGUGUUAAACUACCAAAGCGACAAAGAGGUUCGGUCUCUUUAAAAACUAGUUGUCAUUUUAGCCUUCUAGAGAUGUAAAAAUAAGAGUAUUGGACUUAAACUUUGCAAUUAAUUGUUUUGGUACUAUAUAACAAACAUGGUUACACCUCCUAAAGGUUUUUGCCUCUAGGAAACACAUGUUAUAUGUGUAAUGUUUAAAGCUUGCUUGUUUCCUACUUGUGUUGUUAUAAACUUCCCUUGUUUGAAAGAACUUAUCUUAUCCACAAUUUACUUAACUGAUGAAAUGUUUUAAAAGGUUAUUAGUAACAGUCCUACUAUGGAAUAUAUUUCACUUGAGGAUUCUCGUAAUUUGAGGUACAUAAAGUUUUCUAGUCCUAAAAUUAAAAAUUUCCUAAUUGAUCGUUGUAAAAAACUCAUAAGAGUUGUCUUAGAUGUCCCAUAUCUGGUUUUCUUUUCAUAUAAUGGGAACAUUCUUGAAAAUUGACGUAGCCGUUUCGAUUAAUUUCAUUUCAUGGCUCCAUGUCUCAACCUUGGGAAUACUAUAAAGUUUUCAGAAGUGAAUGUCAAAGCUUAUCACUUUCAUAAGCUCAUUGCCAAGUUAAAAAAACUUGAUUUUUAUAGAGGUUCGACCACCCGCAUGCACCUACAUCCUCUCCUCAAGUCAAGUAAUUGGUACUUCAAUAUCACUUCAAAUGUUUGUUUUUCAUAUACUUAGCUUCCCUUGUCACGUACAAAUAGUAGUUUAAGGUAUCUGUCUUUAUAAAUUAUAAGUGUUUAUUUAUGUUGGUGUAAAGUUUUACCACUCGAGUGUUUCUCUCAAACACUCAAUUCCCAAGAAGUUUUCUACACCUAUUCUUACAAGUAUAAUACUUGUUUUGGAUGUUUAGUUUCACUACUCAAAUGUUUCUCUCAAUUACUCAAGAAAAUGGAAGGAAAUGUGUCAAUUUUCUUUUCACAAAGAAGAUAAUUAUAAUAUGAUUUGAAAGAAGUCUCUAAGAUGAUUUUUAAGAUCUGUCUCAAGAAAUUUGACAUUCACAAGCCAUCCAUGUAAAUUUAUAAUCCUUUCUUGUAUAUUUAAAUUUGGCUCAAGUGCAUGAGCCAUCUUUGUUUGAAGUUACUCCUUAACUCUUUUCUUCUCCCAUAGUAAAAUUUCCUCUACUUUGUAGAAUUGAUGCGUAACCUAGGAUUAACUACUGUGAUAAAAAAAAUCCCAUAUAUAAUAUUAAUAAUCAAAAUCCUAAAACUCUCAACAAAUCCUCCAUACCAACCUGAUAAGUCACAUAGAAUUAUGAGCUUAGAUAAUUGGAAUAGUUUGAAGUGAUUAAAAAUGCCACAAGCAUGAACUUGAUAAGUUACAAAUCAAUUAGCAAGGAUAUUGAUAAAACGCCACAAGGGGUUACCUUAAAAAAUUAAAUCAAUCCUCAUUGAACAAGAUGGUUGAAGAACCCUCUCAAAGAGUAAUCACAAUAGCAUAAGGUAAAGCAAUCAAUCCCCCAUUGAUAAAAUUGAUGGAUUAACUACAACUGAAGAGUUGUGGCCUUUAUAUAGGCAUUCACCAUACAUAUUUAAAUAAAACUCAAAUACUAGAAUCCUAAUUAAAUUCCUUAAUUUAACCAAAUCUAGGAAAACAUUAAAAUGAUAAUUAAAAUAAGCAACGUAAUUAAAACAUAAACUCUCAUCUCUUGAGAUGAAAGAGUGUUGUGACUAAAUUCAUCAUGCUUUUUUUUUACUUGAAUGUGGUCUUCAAUAUUUAAGUAAUUCUUGUGGUAGAAGAUGAGUUUGUAGACACUUAAAAAGCUUCCACAUUGAAGUAAAAAUCAAUUCUUCUUUGAUGAGAAAAUCAAAGAGAAAAUCUAGAUGGAAAUUUAGAAAGAAAUCUAGGGAACAAUCCAUGAAAAAAUCUAGGAGAAAAUCAAAGGAAAAAAAAUCUAGAAAAUAAUCCAACAUUAUCCAUGAGAAAAUUAAGGAUGGAAAUUUGGGUAGGAAUCUUUUGGCUAAAUUCACCUUGAAUUCUUGUUGCUUCUUUGCUUGAUGAUUUAUCAUUCCCUUUGAAGUAGAAUUCUUAUACAUGUUAUUUUUUAAUUAAUUGAAACUCUAUUAAAAAAGGAAGCCCAAUUUUCCUUUAAUUUAGUCACCAAAAGGAAGAAAAGUGAGAAUUCUCCCUUGGGUAGGAUUCCUAUGCGGGUGAGAAUUAUUUCCCCUAUUCUUCUUAAUCGCAAGUAGGUUUCUCCUAAGCAUGGAUUAAUUUAUGAAAUUUUAAAGAAGAAUAUAUUUUGGGCAUGAAAUCUUAAUGGGGAAGAGAUAUCUCGUGUGGGUGAGUAUCUUUCUUCCCUCCUUCUUCAUUAAGAGCCAAAAGCUUAAUUUAGGAGGAGGCUCAUUCUUGUGAUGAAGUGGAGAAAAGAUGAUUCAAUCAAGAGGAAGAUAAAGCCACCAAAGAAAGAAAAAGUGACAACAUCAGAAAAGUAAAAUAUAAUGCCAUGGGAGAAAAGGAACAUGAUGACCCCUUGGUGGAAGAAAGAAAGAUACUCUAUCUAAACCUAAACUUUCUUUCUUUAGUGGUGUUGUUUCUUUAUUACAAGAAGUAGAGUCGGUUAAAUCAUUACAUGAGAAUGUCCCCAAUUUGAGAAAGGAAGGGGGGGAUAACUCACAUUAAAAUCCCAUGUCAAAGAUGAUUACCACCAAACGGUCAAAAAGAGUUGACAACCAUUCUCUCAAUAAGAGUUGACAACCAUUCCAAUCAUGGACUCUCAAGUAUUUCAUAUGAGGGAGUUGUCAACUCUUAUUGAGAGAGUCAUAACUGGAAACUCGUCUCUUUUAAGGAACAUUAAUCAUAUAAAUAAUAAGAGUCCUAAAGAUUAUGGACACUUGAUUAUUCAUUCGUAGGCAAUCGAACACAAUCCUCCUAAUGAAUAUGUUUCAACUUCAAGUAAAUCUCAUAAGAAUCCUUAUCCUACCAAGUAAGGCGAGGUUUCAAGACAUUUACAUCAUCAAAACUGAUAUUUUUUAUCAAUUUAGAAUCCUUGUCACAACAAGAUAAGAAGAAUCCUAUUAUUACAAGUCUUGGUCAGGUUUACACUAUUCUUCAUCUCAUGGGAGAAAAUCCUAAAUUUUCUCUCAGUUUUUCCAUAUAAUUUCUCCUAGAUUUUCUCUUGGAUUUUUUCCUAGAUUUUCUCCUAGAUU